CAUUCCUUGUAACACGUCUGUUUAAUGUUACUAUAAUAAGUAUUUAUUCAAACUAAAAACAGUCGAACAUCGAGUUGAAAUUCACCCACCACCAAGGGAUCUCCUAACAGAGUCUCCAAUCUUUUUGUGUAAGUACCGAUUUUUUUUUUUACUGUAUUCAUUUCAUUACCUCCGUUUUUACCACAUUAUUAGACAAUGGUUUAACUCCGUUUAAGCAUUUAAACGUUAAAAGCAUUGCACGUGUACGACGAUGUAAUACCUUUUUUUUUUAACAGCCGAUGACGACGAAGUGAAAGACGAAGAACUUUGUUUGAUCGAUCUUACAAAGUUGGAAGAUGAUUAUCGAGAGGAUUCGCCGGAAGAGACCAACGCGAUCCCUUUAACCCAAUCGCAGUCUGAUUUUCCGUUUACAUCUCCUGCUCGCUGGUCUCCCUUAACGCUGGCGGGUCCGUCAACGGCCAUUCCAGGCAGAGGAGAAGGCUUGAUUGCGCCAAAGACUCCAGACAUCGAAUCCUUGCUCCGAGGGGAAAUCAUCGAA
Molecule: long non-coding RNA, 538 nt
Organism: Nerophis ophidion (straightnose pipefish)
Lineage: Eukaryota; Metazoa; Chordata; Actinopteri; Syngnathiformes; Syngnathidae
Exons: 3
Source: RefSeq, a predicted model, not a curated record